Ictidomys tridecemlineatus (thirteen-lined ground squirrel) is the source of this 1792-nucleotide RNA transcript. RefSeq lists it as uncharacterized. NCBI's taxonomy places the organism in Eukaryota, Metazoa, Chordata, Mammalia, Rodentia, Sciuridae. The record is from RefSeq and is a predicted model, not a curated record.
UGGUGUCGUGAACCUGAGAACUGCUUAUUUUUUUUGAACAGGAAGAGAAAGUCUAAAUUCGUUCUUUAUAAAGUCUAUGCACUGUUGCACAAAAAGCAUGAUAAAUUGCCUCAUGUUGCCGAAGCACUCAAGGGGAACUUGGUGAAAAAAGGAACCUGCAUUCACUUGACUCUAUCAAUUAUUCAAGCAUACAGUAGUUGAAGAAAUUGAUGCCAGCAAACGCUGCCAGGCUAUGGAGGGAGAACUUUCACACAAGGAUUGUUACUCUAAACACCUGGUAAAAGAGAUAGACAACUCGCCCUCCCAGCUUCUUCAUCAGCUCAUGGCUGACAAAAUGGAGCAAUACGUGUUUUCUGGAAAAAGGCUUUCCCCACUCAAUUGAAGAAGGAAUUGGCCAGAGGCCAGAGGACAUCAGCAAAGAAUGAUUAGCUACCAGGGAAACCCUCUUAUUUCUCACUUAAAGGAACUUGCCCAGAAAGAGAAGCAUCUACUCAGAAAUUACCCUUUCUCCAGGAGAAAUAAUUUCUUCUUCUUGUUUACCUCAAAUGAUAAUGGAACAAGUGAAAAAUCUCUCAAACUUAUUGAGAAAUAAUUUUUCCAAAAGCAAUUGGUUAUAUCCUUUUUAAUAAUCAACUCAGCUCAUUCAUAUAGCAUUCAUAUUUAUUGAAUGUUGUGUUUUCCAUGGUGCAUUUAAGCCAAGGGAUGGAGGUGCCUAGUCCUGCUGAGAAGCUACUCAUGAUUCUAACAUGACUCAGGUUAAAUUUGACUUUAGUUAAUGGUUAAGUUUGAUCUUGUCAGAUUUCAAUAUCAAAUGUGUUGCUGGUGAUGCAAAAGUAAUGCCUGAUCUAUUUGGACAUUCAAACUUUAAUUACAUUUGGUUGUUCACAAGUUAUUUGGCAUGCCACUUGGAAAGAAGAUGGACUGUCCACGGAAUACUGUGGAACCAAAACACCUAGACACGUACUUACGCCCUGCAAUACUUCCAACCUAGCCUGUGCCACUAGCCACUCAUGCCCUCUCACCUAUGGGGCAUGUUCACUUUGGAAAUGAAAACUUGUCUUUAAUAUGAGUCAACCUAAGGAAGCAUCAUAUAUCAGAUCAUUUUUUUUAAGGAUUAAAGUACCAUCAUGUCAGGGGCAAAUAUACUUCCAAAAUUAUGUAAUAUGGCCCCAAACCAAAUAUAAAUAUUUUUCAUUCAAUGUUUCAGAUUAUCUUUGUAAAUAUCUCCUUUAUCAGAGUGAAUCAAGAGUUAACUGUCAAAUGCCUAAGAAGAUUGCUUAAAUUAUUCUUAUUUAGGGGAUAAGGACAUACUUUUCUCUGGAACUAAUGUAAAAAUCCUAAAAAAUACAAUUCUUAAGAACUCUGAUUCCAUAGAAAGCCCUAUGUCAUUUAUGAAUGUCAGGCUUCCAUCUGUGCUGGAGAAAAAUAAUGCUCUGUACAACAGGUACUGGGACUGAGUAUUCUGAAGGAGCAUCAUUUUGCCAUCAGUCUGAUUAUAAUAUAAAAUAUUUCCUCCAACACCUUAAAACUGCAAACAUGAUCACAAUUAAGUAGUUCUGAUGUACAGAAAAUUCAAGUAUAUUUCCAAAUGUACAGUUUAGAGUAAUCAUUUCACAUCAAUGGUUUUACAUAAGUUAAUUUAGGUGAUUCAACCCACACAAAUAUGGCAUACACAUAAGUAAAUAUUAAUCACUGAUGUAUGUGGCUUUUGGUAUAGGUGGCUUUUGGAAAUAAUCAGCAUUUCAUUGCUUUUGAAACAUUCCUAUAUCUACCCCCACUAAAAAAAAAAAAA